RNAcentral lists this ribosomal RNA (950 nucleotides) under Staphylococcus aureus. RNAcentral's name for it is "bacterial SSU rRNA". It matches the Rfam family "Bacterial small subunit ribosomal RNA", at positions 108 to 1042 of the family's 1533-position model. Lineage: Bacteria; Bacillati; Bacillota; Bacilli; Caryophanales; Staphylococcaceae. The record is from RNAcentral.
GAGUAACACGUGGAUAACCUACCUAUAAGACUGGGAUAACUUCGGGAAACCGGAGCUAAUACCGGAUAAUAUUUUGAACCGCAUGGUUCAAAAGUGAAAGACGGUCUUGCUGUCACUUAUAGAUGGAUCCGCGCUGCAUUAGCUAGUUGGUAAGGUAACGGCUUACCAAGGCAACGAUGCAUAGCCGACCUGAGAGGGUGAUCGGCCACACUGGAACUGAGACACGGUCCAGACUCCUACGGGAGGCAGCAGUAGGGAAUCUUCCGCAAUGGGCGAAAGCCUGACGGAGCAACGCCGCGUGAGUGAUGAAGGUCUUCGGAUCGUAAAACUCUGUUAUUAGGGAAGAACAUAUGUGUAAGUAACUGUGCACAUCUUGACGGUACCUAAUCAGAAAGCCACGGCUAACUACGUGCCAGCAGCCGCGGUAAUACGUAGGUGGCAAGCGUUAUCCGGAAUUAUUGGGCGUAAAGCGCGCGUAGGCGGUUUUUUAAGUCUGAUGUGAAAGCCCACGGCUCAACCGUGGAGGGUCAUUGGAAACUGGAAAACUUGAGUGCAGAAGAGGAAAGUGGAAUUCCAUGUGUAGCGGUGAAAUGCGCAGAGAUAUGGAGGAACACCAGUGGCGAAGGCGACUUUCUGGUCUGUAACUGACGCUGAUGUGCGAAAGCGUGGGGAUCAAACAGGAUUAGAUACCCUGGUAGUCCACGCCGUAAACGAUGAGUGCUAAGUGGUAGGGGGUUUCCGCCCCUUAGUGCUGCAGCUAACGCAUUAAGCACUCCGCCUGGGGAGUACGACCGCAAGGUUGAAACUCAAAGGAAUUGACGGGGACCCGCACAAGCGGUGGAGCAUGUGGUUUAAUUCGAAGCAACGCGAAGAACCUUACCAAAUCUUGACAUCCUUUGACAACUCUAGAGAUAGAGCUUUCCCCUUCGGGGGACAAAGUGACAGGUGGU